This 926-nucleotide long non-coding RNA is filed under the name Malus domestica (apple). Its description in RNAcentral is "long non-coding RNA (MDOM_LNC018328)". Lineage: Eukaryota; Viridiplantae; Streptophyta; Magnoliopsida; Rosales; Rosaceae. The record is from RNAcentral.
UGUAACCGACAUUAUGUAACAUCUCAAUAAAAAUGACAUAGGUGAUGAUGUCGCUUAUAAGCGACACUAGAUAUAUUAAAAAUAAAAAAUUUAAUAAAUCUUCCUCAGUUUUUAAUUAAGAGGUGUGUUCUCGUGCUCCUUGACCGGUUUAUCAGUAUACUGUUUUUUUUUUUUUAAUUUAUUUCUAUACUCCUUAUGCGCAUGCUCCGCAAUAUGAAGUGUCAUGUGACGGAUCAUUGGCAUUUUCGUCAUAUCCUCUUCUUGAAAAAUAAUAGUUUCCUAUACUCAUAAAAAAAAUUCAAGCAAAUUAAUUAUUACUAUAAACAUUGACUUAUUAUACACUCUUCAAGUAACAAAAAAUAUUUAUACCUUUAUUCUAUUCCAGAAAGCUUCCAUACGAUAUUCCUUGAUCAUACGCCAAUCUCUCACCAACGGAAUAUUUCUAUAAUCUCUAACCUCCGCCGCUACAUGUUUUGAAAAAGCACUAGAAUUUUCACUAAUGCAUUUUCCAGAAGCAUCAAAAGAACAAGGUUGUUCCUUCCAAUUGGGAAUUGAGGGUCCCCGUCCUCGUUGAGUUGAUCCUUAUAAAUACAGAAAAAAACAAUUAAAACCAAGGACCAAAAAACAAUUUUCAAUUUGGGCAUCAUACUAGUUAGACUACAAAACAAAAUACUAAAACUAAUAACCAUAAUUAAAAAUGGCCCACCAUAGACUUCUUCCUCUUCGAAUUAGAUUUCGUCAUCAUGAUCAUCUUCAAAAUUAUCUAUAGCAAAACAAUCUGCAAGAAGAAGUACAAAAACUAAAAAGUGAAAAGGGAGAUGAAAUGGAAGUACAGACGAAAUUGGAGGGAGAAGGAGAGAUUGAAAUUUGGGAAAAAAUGAAAGCACAGAUGAAAUGGGGGGGAAAGGGGGUUUAAAUAUGGAUGU